This 836-nucleotide ribosomal RNA is filed under the name Nocardia cyriacigeorgica. RNAcentral's name for it is "bacterial SSU rRNA". It matches the Rfam family "Bacterial small subunit ribosomal RNA", at positions 47 to 898 of the family's 1533-position model. Lineage: Bacteria; Bacillati; Actinomycetota; Actinomycetes; Mycobacteriales; Nocardiaceae. The record is from RNAcentral.
CUUAACACAUGCAAGUCGAGCGGUAAGGCCCUUCGGGGUACACGAGCGGCGAACGGGUGAGUAACACGUGGGUGAUCUGCCUCGCACUCUGGGAUAAGCCUGGGAAACUGGGUCUAAUACCGGAUAUGACCUUACAUCGCAUGGUGUUUGGUGGAAAGAUUUAUCGGUGCGAGAUGGGCCCGCGGCCUAUCAGCUUGUUGGUGGGGUAAUGGCCUACCAAGGCGACGACGGGUAGCCGGCCUGAGAGGGCGACCGGCCACACUGGGACUGAGACACGGCCCAGACUCCUACGGGAGGCAGCAGUGGGGAAUAUUGCACAAUGGGCGAAAGCCUGAUGCAGCGACGCCGCGUGAGGGAUGACGGCCUUCGGGUUGUAAACCUCUUUCGACAGGGACGAAGCGCAAGUGACGGUACCUGUAGAAGAAGCACCGGCCAACUACGUGCCAGCAGCCGCGGUAAUACGUAGGGUGCGAGCGUUGUCCGGAAUUACUGGGCGUAAAGAGCUUGUAGGCGGCUUGUCGCGUCGAUCGUGAAAACUUGGGGCUCAACCCCAAGCUUGCGGUCGAUACGGGCAGGCUUGAGUACUUCAGGGGAGACUGGAAUUCCUGGUGUAGCGGUGAAAUGCGCAGAUAUCAGGAGGAACACCGGUGGCGAAGGCGGGUCUCUGGGAAGUAACUGACGCUGAGAAGCGAAAGCGUGGGUAGCGAACAGGAUUAGAUACCCUGGUAGUCCACGCCGUAAACGGUGGGUACUAGGUGUGGGUUUCCUUCCACGGGAUCCGUGCCGUAGCUAACGCAUUAAGUACCCCGCCUGGGGAGUACGGCCGCAAGGCUAAA